GUCGGGAUAGCUCAGCUGGAAACAA
Molecule: transfer RNA, 25 nt
Filed under: Photinia loriformis
Lineage: Eukaryota; Viridiplantae; Streptophyta; Magnoliopsida; Rosales; Rosaceae
Description: partial tRNA-Phe
Source: RNAcentral